UACGUAGGGCGCGAGCGUUGUCCGGAAUUAUUGGGCGUAAAGAGCUCGUAGGCGGUUUGUCGCGUCGGUUGUGAAAACCCAAGGCUCAACCUUGGGCCUGCAAUCGAUACGGGCAGACUAGAGUACUGCAGGGGAGACUGGAAUUCCUGGUGUAGCGGUGGAAUGCGCAGAUAUCAGGAGGAACACCGGUGGCGAAGGCGGGUCUCUGGGCCGUUACUGACGCUGAGGAGCGAAAGCGUGGGGAGCGAACAGG
This 253-nucleotide ribosomal RNA is filed under the name uncultured bacterium. RNAcentral describes it as "partial 16S ribosomal RNA". It matches the Rfam family "Bacterial small subunit ribosomal RNA", at positions 524 to 776 of the family's 1533-position model. The record is from RNAcentral.